This is a long non-coding RNA of Pongo pygmaeus (Bornean orangutan), 1619 nucleotides long. RefSeq lists it as uncharacterized. The record is from RefSeq and is a predicted model, not a curated record. The transcript has 8 exons. Lineage: Eukaryota; Metazoa; Chordata; Mammalia; Primates; Hominidae.
GUAGUGCUCUGUGAGGUGCUACAGACAUGACUGAUUUUCAGUACCAAGAAUGGAAGAAUGAAGGAUGUUCACAUCAAUCAAAAAGCAAAAUCAACCUUUCCCUUGCGGUGAGUAAAAGACCAACUUGCAUCUGCUUGGUAUGCAGUAAAAAAUGGAGCAGAUUGCACAGUGACUGGAGAAAUGAAUGAGAAGUCCAGCUGUGAAAAAAAGUCAGAGACAAAAAUGAAGAUAAUAAAAUAUAUUUUGGAUGAGGGCAAUUUCCUAAAUAUGUAACUGUCAAGCUGGUGAGGUCAUAAAGAGAACAGAAGAUUGUCUAGGUCUGGGCGUGAGGUCCGAGCAAAGUGCCCUGAAAGAGCCACUGAUAGAAGUUUGGCACAAAGAACACCUGGCUAGAAACCACAUCCCCUGGAUGCUGAUCCUGAGAAUUCGGUAUCUGAUGCCUCUCCUGAAUUUAUAAAGGAAGAGUGGUGUGUCCACCAGUGCCCACAAAUCCAUGGCCUCCAGACCAGAAGGGAGUUCAAAGAAGAUGUUCUAUGAUAAACUGGGCCUUUUGGUGGGCCUCUAGCACUUGCCAGGACAACCUGUGCAUGGCUCCACCAGCCCCAAACCCAGGACAGCUGUUUGGAGCUUCUCUCACAGACGUUUGUGAGAAUGACAAGCUGCCUGCCCCUCUGCUGGAUAUGCUUUCCUUUGUCAAUCAAAAAGGGCCAUGCAUAGAGAAAAUUGGGUAACAUAAACUCAUGUAGACUCCUGAAGGAGAAACUCAAUUCAGGAGAUAAAGUAAACUUGGACAGCGAGUCUGUUGUCGUGGUGGCCUCUAUCUUUAAGGAUUUUCUUCGAAACAUCUGAGAAAGUAUAUUUUCAUCCCAACUCUUUGAUAAGCGGCAUGGUGUUAUGGAUCAGGAGAACAAGGAAGAGAUAAUAACUGCAAUCCAGAGGCUUUUAGACCAGCUGCCAAAAGCCAAUGUUGUUCUCUUGUGAUACCUUUUUGGAGUGUUACAUAACAUUGAGCAGCAUUCCUCAGCCAAUCAGAUGACAGCUUAUGAUUUAUCUGUGUGUAUAGCCUCAAGCAUUAUUUUCCUGCCUACUCCCUGUAGCUCAGAAGUGGUAAAUGAGUCACCAAAAAGGUUUCUAUUGUACAAUUUCUCAUUGAAAACUGCCUCAGCAUAUUUGGAGAAGACAUCACUUCCCUCUUGGAGAAGAGCUCAAUGACUUGUGACAACAGUGAUGCUUCAGGUACCUUGAGAAAUUUGGCUAGUUUUGAUGAGAAACAGUGAGUAGGGCUGCCAGGAGUCAUGAGAGAUGCUUAGGCAGUGGCUGUCCUGGAUUCCAAGGCAAGCCCCAAGCACAAUGAUGCAGGACCCAGGACUCCAUCUGCUCAUUCUUUAUAAGGUUAGCUCACAGGUCAUCUGCUGAGAAGGUCAUCUGCUCCUCCUUCACUGUGCUCACUGAAUGAGGACAUUCCAAGAUCCCAGCUCCUCCCAUUUGAACUUUCCUUUUCCUAAUCCCAUGCAUCUGUGUUUGAGAAAAUCUUCCCACAUGAUUUUCUAUUUUCCCAUUUCUUCCAUGUUGUAUUACUUUAGUAUUAUUAUUAAUAAAUGCACAUAUUGUGUAUAUGC